RNAcentral lists this long non-coding RNA (368 nucleotides) under Nicotiana benthamiana. RNAcentral's name for it is "long non-coding RNA (NBEN_LNC036211)". Lineage: Eukaryota; Viridiplantae; Streptophyta; Magnoliopsida; Solanales; Solanaceae. The record is from RNAcentral.
UCAUUAUAAAUCUGAAUGUAUUUCAAAAGAAAAGGUUAGGCAAAAGAAUAAAGAGUUUGUUCAAGAGAAAAUUAGGCUACCACAUUAGGCUAAAAGGAAUCUGAUUCACCCUUUUGCCUAUAGAAAGGGACCGAAACCAGUUUGGGUUCCUAAGAAUAACCCCUAAUAUCUUUUUGCGGGUCCAAGUGAAGGGGAGCAGCCAAAUAUGGUACAUGGAUAGUGGCUGCUCAAAGCAUUAGACAGGAAGUAAAAACCAACUCCUUUCACUUGAAGAAAUCAAAGGAGCUGAUGUCUCUUUUGGAAAUGGGAAGAAAGGUGAGAUCAUUGGGGUUGGAAAGGUAGGUAAGGAUGAUUCUCACUCUAUUGAG